Molecule: long non-coding RNA, 1743 nt
Organism: Gadus macrocephalus (Pacific cod)
Lineage: Eukaryota; Metazoa; Chordata; Actinopteri; Gadiformes; Gadidae
Exons: 2
Source: RefSeq, a predicted model, not a curated record
UUCAAGCAGGCCGUCCAGCUCGCUGCCCUCGUCCCCUGAGGAGCAGAAUUGGCCUCAGACAGGCUCUAGUACAGGGGUCACCAACACAAUGCCCGCGGGCACCACGGCGCCCGCAAGGACCACAUGAGGCGCCCGCAGGCCUGUUCUAAAAAUAGCACUACUCAUUCUUGAACAACUCUUUCCCACCUUUUUUAAGUCAUUGUUGAUAAUUAUUGUGAGAAAUCAUUAACAUGACUUCAUUAAUCAACAUGUCUUCACAUAGAUGAGUAUCAUUGAUAGUAAUAUAUAACUAAAGGCAAACUGAGCAAAUUUGUUAUUUCAGAAGAGUGUAUAGAACUGGGUGCCCUUAGUAUGACUCAGUACCCAUGAAGUAGCUCUCAGGUUCAAAAAGGUUGGUGACCCCUGCUCUAGUGGAACCUAGAACUGGCCUCAGACAAGCUCUGGUGGAACCUAGAACCGGCCUCAGACAGGCUCUAGUGCAGGCAUCUCCAAACGGCGGACCGCGGUUCGGGUCUGGACCAAGUGACGUUCCUAUCCGGACCCAUGACCAAUUUAAAAUAAUACGAUUUUUAUGAUUUCACUAUACAAAGCAUGAUUACGUUAGUAAAAUAAUUUCUCACUGAAAUACAAAUUGAAAGGCAGAAUAGUCUGUAGUGCAGCAUAAAAACAGCAAAAAGCAAUGAUCUUCACAGAGCGAAGAUCAUGCACUCACUGAACUCCCCCCCUCCCUCCGUCUGUCACGGCAAGUGCGUGAUAGCUUGACCCCGAAAACAGACAUUUUAAAGAUGAAUGGACUGACCAAUACUUGUUCAUUCUCCCGCAAGGCGGUACAAAACCUUUGUUGUGUCUUUCAUGUGUUGAAACCGUGGCGCUGAUAAAAAGGGGGAAUAUUAAGCGGCGUUACGAAUCCAAACACAGAUCCUUCGAGGAAAAGUAUCCCCAGAAGUCAGAAGUAAGAGCGUGGAAAAUAUCCGAGCUGAGAGCUCAGUAUGAGAGGUCUACGCGUGUCUUCACACACUCAUUUACAGGCCAGCAACGUGCAAAUGAAUGCUCACUUAAGAUUGGAUGGAUUUUGGGGCAACAUAAAAAAAACCUCAGUGACACGACUGUUGUGAAUGAGUGCUUGAACGCCGCUGUCGAGACGUUACUUGAAGGUAAACAAAGGGAUGAAUUGUGUGAAAAAAUAAAGCAAAUCCCAAUGUGAGGUGCAACGACAACCAGAAAAUCUGAAAUGUCAUCAGAUGACGCAGUGUCACAGCUUCAUACGGCUGUUCAGAGUGCCCCAUCCAUAGCCAUUGAUGAGUCUUCAGAUGUAACGGAUAAUGCCCAGCUUUUGGUUUAUGUGCGAUUGUUUCAUCAAGACAAGAAAGAGAUCUGUGAGGACCUGUUGGGUCUAACACCACUUGAGACACUGUUUUGCUUACUUGAAAUGAAGGCCUAGUGCUCUUUUUGUGUUUAUUUGAAAUGUAGGUCUGGUGUACCUGUUUUGCUUACUUGAAAUGUAGGCCUAAUGCACUUUGUGUAUAUUUGUAGUGUAGGCCUAGUGUUCCUGUUCUGCUUAGUUCACAUGAAGGCCUUAUGCACUUUUAAUGUUUACUUGAAUUGCAGGCCUAAUGUACCUGUUUUGUUUACUUGAAAUGUUAAUAUGCGUUACUUUGUCUUACAAGUUUUUCAUGGUUAAAAGUAAGCUAUUUGGAAAUUGAAAAUAAAUACAUCUGAAAUUAUAUGGUAAUAUGCCGUGUU